Molecule: transfer RNA, 71 nt
Filed under: Candidatus Jorgensenbacteria bacterium
Lineage: Bacteria; Candidatus Joergenseniibacteriota
Description: tRNA-Gly
Rfam family: tRNA
About the family: Transfer RNA (tRNA) molecules are approximately 80 nucleotides in length. Their secondary structure includes four short double-helical elements and three loops (D, anti-codon, and T loops).
Source: RNAcentral
GCGGAAUUAGUACAGUGGCAGUACACUUGCUUCCCAAGCAAGGGACACGGGUUCGAUUCCCGUAUCCCGCA